RNAcentral lists this ribosomal RNA (500 nucleotides) under uncultured bacterium. RNAcentral describes it as "partial 16S ribosomal RNA". It matches the Rfam family "Bacterial small subunit ribosomal RNA", at positions 29 to 523 of the family's 1533-position model. The record is from RNAcentral.
AUUGAACGCUGGCGGCAUGCCUUACACAUGCAAGCCGAACGGCAGCGCGGACUUCGGUCUGGCGGCGAGUGGCGAACGGGUGAGUAAUACAUCGGAACGUACCCUGUUGUGGGGGAUAACUAGUCGAAAGAUUAGCUAAUACCGCAUACGACCUGAGGGUGAAAGUGGGGGACCGCAAGGCCUCAAGCAGCAGGAGCGGCCGAAGUCUGAUUAGCUAGUUGGUGGGGUAAAGGCCCACCAAGGCGACGAUCAGUAGCUGGUCUGAGAGGACGAUCAGCCACACUGGGAAUGAGACACGGGCCAGACUCCUACGGGAGGGAGCAGUGGGGAAUUUUGGACAAUGGGGGCAACCCUGAUCCAGCAAUGCCGCGUGUGUGAAGAAGGCCUUCGGGUUGUAAAGCACUUUUGUCCGGAAAGAAAUCGCGCUGGUUAAUACCUGGCGUGGAUGACGGUACCGGAAGAAUAAGCACCGGCUAACUACGUGCCAGCCGCCGCAGUAA